GGCUCAGAUUGAACGCUGGCGGCAGGCCUAACACAUGCAAGUCGAGCGGAAACGACAACAAAGAUUCUUCGGAUGAUUUGUUGGGCGUCGAGCGUAGGACGGGAGAGUAAUGCUUAGGAAUUUGCCCAGUCGAGGGGGACAACAGUUGGAAACGACUGCUAAUACCGCAUACGCCCUACGGGGGAAAGAGGGGGAUGCUUCGGCACCUUUCGCGAUUGGAUAAGCCUAAGUGAGAUUAGCUAGAUGGUGAGGUAAUGGCUCACCAUGGCGACGAUCUCUAGCUGGUUUGAGAGGAUGAUCAGCCACACUGGAACUGAGACACGGUCCAGACUCCUACGGGAGGCAGCAGUGGGGAAUAUUGCACAAUGGGCGCAAGCCUGAUGCGGCCAUGCCGCGUGUAUGAAGAAAGGCAUUCGGGUUGUAAAGUACUUUCAGCGAGGAGGAAGGGUUAACGGUUAAAACCCGUUAGCUGUAACGUUUACUCGCAGAAGAAGCACCGGCUAACUCCGUGCCAGCAGCCGCGGUAAUACGGAGGGUGCGAGCGUUAAUCGGAAUUACUGGGCGUAAAGCGCAUGCAGGCGGUCUGUUAAGCGAGAUGUGAAAGCCCCGGGCUUAACCUGGGAACUGCAUUUCGAACUGGCAGACUAGAGUCUUGUAGAGGGAGGUAGAAUUUCAGGUGUAGCGGUGAAAUGCGUAGAGAUCUGAAGGAAUACCAGUGGCGAAGGCGGCCUCCUGGACAAAGACUGACGCUCAGAUGCGAAAGCGUGGGGAGCAAACAGGAUUAGAUACCCUGGUAGUCCACGCUGUAAACGAUGUCUAUUAGGAGUCUGUGCCCUUGAGGCGUGGGUUCCAAAGCUAACGCAUUAAAUAGACCGCCUGGGGAGUACGGCCGCAAGGUUAAAACUCAUAUGAAUUGACGGGGGCCCGCACAAGCGGUGGAGCAUGUGGUUUAAUUCGAUGCAACGCGAAGAACCUUACCAUCCCUUGACAUCCACGGAAGCUUUGAGAGAUCGAAAGUGUGCCUUCGGGAACCGUGAGACAGGUGCUGCAUGGCUGUCGUCAGCUCGUGUUGUGAAAUGUUGGGGUUAAGUCCCGCAACGAGCGCAACCCUUGUCCUUAGUUGCCAGCGCGUAAUGGCGGGAACUCUAGGGAGACUGCCGGUGAUUAACCGGAGGAAGGUGGGGACGACGUCCAGUCAUCAUGGCCCUUACGGGAUGGGGCUACACACGUGCUACAAUGGUCGGUACAAAGGGUUGCGAGCUCGCGAGAGUCAGCCAAUCCCAUAAAGCCGGUCGUAGUCCGGAUUGGAGUCUGCAACUCGACUCCAUGAAGUCGGAAUCGCUAGUAAUCGUGAAUCAGAAUGUCACGGUGAAUACGUUCCCGGGCCUUGUACACACCGCCCGUCACACCAUGGGAGUGGGCCCCACCAGAACUCAUUAGACUUAACCUUCGGGAAGGCGAUGACCACGGUGUGGUUCAUGACUGGGGUGAAGUC
Molecule: ribosomal RNA, 1495 nt
Filed under: uncultured Ferrimonas sp.
Lineage: Bacteria; Pseudomonadati; Pseudomonadota; Gammaproteobacteria; Alteromonadales; Ferrimonadaceae
Description: bacterial SSU rRNA
Rfam family: Bacterial small subunit ribosomal RNA
Source: RNAcentral